CUUCAAACGCAUCACAUGUAGGUGUGUGUGUAUCAGUUGGUCCAAUGCAGUGAGCACACUGCUUAGGCGUGGCUGUUGCUUCUACAUGUUUUGAUUAGGAUUGCAAACACCUGAUGUGAUCUGACUGCUAUUCACUGCUUUGAGAACAUCUGAGAAAAUCUAAGCAGACACAGGAUGAAUAAUAAAAACAAAAUGAUCUUAAGCCAGAUUAACGUGUAUGGGAAUGCAAAUGGGAAUGGAUCCUACAGAGGC
Molecule: long non-coding RNA, 252 nt
Filed under: Coturnix japonica (Japanese quail)
Lineage: Eukaryota; Metazoa; Chordata; Aves; Galliformes; Phasianidae
Description: lncRNA (ENSCJPG00005007881.1)
Source: RNAcentral